RNAcentral lists this ribosomal RNA (654 nucleotides) under uncultured Lachnospiraceae bacterium. Its description in RNAcentral is "bacterial SSU rRNA". It matches the Rfam family "Bacterial small subunit ribosomal RNA", at positions 70 to 740 of the family's 1533-position model. Lineage: Bacteria; Bacillati; Bacillota; Clostridia; Lachnospirales; Lachnospiraceae. The record is from RNAcentral.
GAAGAGAAGCUUGCUUUUCUGAUCUAGUGGCGGACGGGUGAGUAACACGUGAGCAAUCUGCCUUUCAGAGGGGGAUACCGAUUGGAAACGAUCGUUAAUACCGCAUAACAUAAUUGAACCGCAUGAUUUGAUUAUCAAAGAUUUAUCGCUGAAAGAUGAGCUCGCGUCUGAUUAGCUAGUUGGUAAGGUAACGGCUUACCAAGGCGACGAUCAGUAGCCGGACUGAGAGGUUGAUCGGCCACAUUGGGACUGAGACACGGCCCAGACUCCUACGGGAGGCAGCAGUGGGGAAUAUUGCACAAUGGAGGAAACUCUGAUGCAGCGAUGCCGCGUGAGGGAAGAAGGUUUUAGGAUUGUAAACCUCUGUCUUCAGGGACGAAAAAAGACGGUACCUGAGGAGGAAGCUCCGGCUAACUACGUGCCAGCAGCCGCGGUAAUACGUAGGGAGCGAGCGUUGUCCGGAAUUACUGGGUGUAAAGGGAGCGUAGGCGGGAUCGCAAGUCAGAUGUGAAAACUAUGGGCUUAACCCAUAAACUGCAUUUGAAACUGUGGUUCUUGAGUGAAGUAGAGGUAAGCGGAAUUCCUAGUGUAGCGGUGAAAUGCGUAGAUAUUAGGAGGAACAUCAGUGGCGAAGGCGGCUUACUGGGCUUUAAC